RNAcentral lists this long non-coding RNA (1306 nucleotides) under Homo sapiens (human). RNAcentral describes it as "HSALNT0327594". The record is from RNAcentral. Lineage: Eukaryota; Metazoa; Chordata; Mammalia; Primates; Hominidae.
GCUUGACCAUGUAGGGGUGAAGGGCAAACUUCCCCUUUACCCUCUGAAGUUUCACUGAAAAUCAACCGACAAGGCAGAUUAAAAGGAAAAAAGGCAUACAAAUUUAUUUGAUCAUAGUUUUACAUGCCAUGGGAGCCUUCAGAAUGAAGAUCCAAAGAUACAGCAAAAUUGUCCAUUCUUAUGCUUACAUUCAACAGAGUAUGGACAGCCAUGUAGAAAUGUGACUGGACAAAAAGUAUAUUGUUACCAGAGUGGGGUCCUCAUCCAGUCCACAAGAGAGGGUUCUUGAACCUCACGCAAGAAAGAAUUUGGGGCAAGUCCAUAAAGUGAAAUCAAAUUUAUUAGAGAAGUAAAGGAGGUAAAGAAUGGCUACUCCAUAGGCAGAGCUGCAGCAUGGGCUGCUCAACUAAUUAUAGUUAUUUCUUGAUUAUAUGCUAAACAAGGGGUGGAUUAUUCAUGAGUUUUCCGCGAAAGGGAUGGGCAAUUCCCAGAACUGAGGGUUCCUCCUCCUUUAGACCAUAUAGGGUAACUUCCUGAUGUUUGUAAACUGUCCUGGUGCUGGUGGGAGUGUCUUUUAGCAUGCUAAUGAAUUAUAAUUAGUGUAUAAUGAGCAGUGGGCACGACCAGAGCUCACUUUGGUCGCCAUCUUGAUUUUGAUGGGUUUUGGCCGGCUCCUUUACUACAUCCUAUUUUACCAGCAAGGUCUUUGUGACCUGUAUCUUGUGCUGACCCCCACCAUCUCAUCCUCGAAGAAUGCCUUAACUUCCUGGGAAUACAGCCCAGCAGGUCACAGCCUUAUUUUACCCAGUCCCUAUUCAAGAUGGAGUCUCUCUGGUUCAAAUGCCUCUGACACUAUUAACCUGGUUUUGAAGAUGAGGAAACUGAGGCUUGGAGGUCACCCAGCUACUUCUUGGUAGAGUUAGAAUUUGCAACUUCCUGGCUUGAAAACUCAGGCUUUAUCCUUUUCUGGUACCUUUCAAUAGAGGCUACAAGUCCCCAGGUUAUUUAUUUAUUUAUCUAUUGAGAUAGAAUUUUGCUCUUGUUGCCCAGGCUGGGGUGCAAUGGCACCAUCUAGGCUAACUGCAACCUCCGCCUCCUGGGUUCAAGUGAUUCUCCUGCCUCAGCCUCCUGAGUAGCUGAAAUUACAGGUGCCCACCACCCUGCCUGGCUAAUUUUUGUAUUUUUAGUAGAGACAGGGUUUCGCCAUGUUGGCCAGGCUGGUCUUGAACUCCUAACCACAGGUGAUCCACCCACCUUUGCCUCUGAAAAUGCUGGGAUGACAGGUGUGAGCCACCGUGCCUGGCCA